GAGCAACUACUGUCAAAAAUAAGACAUCAAAGUAUGCUCUUAAAGCCAUUGGCUUUUAAAGCUUCUUCUUAGAAGUGACACCUGUCACUGCCACUCACAUUUAACUGGCUAAAACAAGUCAAGUCAUAUGGCCAUAUCUGAGUUCAGUGGAGUGCAGAAGAGCCUGGACCGAACUAUACUAGCACGGAACGAUACUGUACUAUAGCCCAAAAAAGGAAGGGAGCCAUAUACUUGUGAACAGCCUGAAAGACUACCACAAGAUGUAACAGAAAUGGCUAUCCAUUAUCACAAACACUGUUAGUUCCAUCUUCCUUAGUAAGAAGGUAUAGCUGGUAUUCAAGGCAGCAACGUGCCCACGAGGAAUAGUGGUAUGACCCAGUUCUGGCCAUGAAGUAAUCAGAAGCCUACUACUGAGGAUCCAGGAAAAUGGUUUGUUUCCUAGUGAAAGGACAGUUUCAGCUGUCUUCUGACCAUCUCCUUCCUCCUGCCUGGGAUGCAGAAUGUGGUGUCUGGAGGAAAGCAUCAAUCUUGUCAACAUGAGGAUGAUAGCCACAUACAUGUUUAGGACAGUAGAAGAAGCCUGUAUCCUGGAGGCCUUCCUUGAGCUGCUGAACUAGUCCUGAAUUGUCUUCCUCCAGGUUUCCUGUGAUGUGAGAAAAAUAAAGCCCCACUGGAUUCAAC
RNAcentral lists this long non-coding RNA (681 nucleotides) under Pan troglodytes (chimpanzee). Its description in RNAcentral is "long non-coding RNA NONPTRT004053". The record is from RNAcentral. Lineage: Eukaryota; Metazoa; Chordata; Mammalia; Primates; Hominidae.